UUUUUUUUUUUUUUUUUUUUUUUUUUUCGUCGGACGAACGCUGGCGGCGUGCUUAACACAUGCAAGUCGAACGAUGAACCACUUCGGUGGGGAAGAGUGGCGAACGGGUGAGUAACACGUGGGCAAUCUGCCCUGCACUCUGGGAUAACUCCGGGAAACCGGAGCUAAUACCGGAUACGACUCUCCAGGGCAUCCUGGGGGGUGGAAAGCUCCGGCGGUGCAGGAUGAGCCCGCGGCCUAUCAGCUGGUUGGUGGGGUAACGGCCCACCAAGGCGACGACGGGUAGCCGGCCUGAGAGGGCGACCGGCCACACUGGGACUGAGACACGGCCCAGACUCCUACGGGAGGCAGCAGUGGGGAAUAUUGCACAAUGGGCGCAAGCCUGAUGCAGCGACGCCGCGUGAGGGAUGACGGCCUUCGGGUUGUAAACCUCUUUCAGCAGGGAAGAAGCGCAAGUGACGGUACCUGCAGAAGAAGCACCGGCUAACUACGUGCCAGCAGCCGCGGUAAUACGUAGGGUGCGAGCGUUGUCCGGAAUUAUUGGGCGUAAAGAGCUCGUAGGCGGCCUGUCGCGUCGGAUGUGAAAGCCCGGGGCUUAACCCCGGGUCUGCAUUCGAUACGGGCAGGCUAGAGUUCGGUAGGGGAGAUCGGAAUUCCUGGUGUAGCGGUGAAAUGCGCAGAUAUCAGGAGGAACACCGGUGGCGAAGGCGGAUCUCUGGGCCGAUACUGACGCUGAGGAGCGAAAGCGUGGGGAGCGAACAGGAUUAGAUACCCUGGUAGUCCACGCCGUAAACGUUGGGCACUAGGUGUGGGCGGCAUUCCACGUCGUCCGUGCCGCAGCUAACGCAUUAAGUGCCCCGCCCUGUGAGUCGCCCAAC
This 878-nucleotide ribosomal RNA is filed under the name Streptomyces sp. Its description in RNAcentral is "bacterial SSU rRNA". It matches the Rfam family "Bacterial small subunit ribosomal RNA", at positions 1 to 889 of the family's 1533-position model. RNAcentral also lists the same sequence under 1 other name. Lineage: Bacteria; Bacillati; Actinomycetota; Actinomycetes; Kitasatosporales; Streptomycetaceae. The record is from RNAcentral.